AGGGAGAAGAGAGUGGCUGACUACAGAGCUCCCAGGGUUCGCCAGCUACCCUGACCUUCAAGAAUGAGUCAAGUACCAGCUCCUGGGCCCUAGGACAGUCUUCACCCGAGAUCCUGUCAAGGACUCUGAGCUGCACCUAGAUGGACAUCCUCGGGUCUGGAAGCUCAACAGGGUGUUGGACUAAAGGAGGAAGGGAGCCCGAAGAAGAUACAGGUCGGAACCUGGGGUCCAAGGAAGCCCAGGAAACUAGUCCCUCGGUGAGUCCGGCACCAGACCCCGCCAGUGUUCCAACCCACCAGCUCUCCGCAGCAA
Long non-coding RNA from Psammomys obesus (fat sand rat), 312 nucleotides. RefSeq lists it as uncharacterized. The record is from RefSeq and is a predicted model, not a curated record. Lineage: Eukaryota; Metazoa; Chordata; Mammalia; Rodentia; Muridae. The transcript has 4 exons.